RNAcentral lists this long non-coding RNA (326 nucleotides) under Androctonus crassicauda. Lineage: Eukaryota; Metazoa; Arthropoda; Arachnida; Scorpiones; Buthidae. The record is from RNAcentral.
AAUCAUUUUAUGGUGCCAAAAUUUAAUAGAUUUAAUAUAACUAUUCAUUCUUUUCCAACAUGUUUAUUCCUUAGUAGAUAUAUUCAUGCUGUCAGGGCCCGUACAAAGCAGGUUCAGUGCAUUCGCCGGAACCCGGUCCCGCGUUUUGAGAGGCCCCGUGGUUUACGAAAAUUACCCAAUUAAAAAAUACUGAUUUUGAUUAACUUUUUACAGAAUGAUGAUACCAUUAACAGAUGCAAGAUAUUUUUUUAGUAGCGAAGAUUCAGUUUAAAGGAGUGACAAAAAUCAUCAAAGUUCAGUGUAACUCCAUAAAGUCCUCAUAUCCU